This 527-nucleotide ribosomal RNA is filed under the name Ophiocordyceps sphecocephala. RNAcentral describes it as "eukaryotic LSU rRNA". The stretch from base 158 to 315 matches the Rfam family "5.8S ribosomal RNA". The record is from RNAcentral. Lineage: Eukaryota; Fungi; Ascomycota; Sordariomycetes; Hypocreales; Ophiocordycipitaceae.
UAGGUGANCUGCGGAGGGAUCAUUACAGAUGUGAAAAACUCCCCAACCCACUGUGAACUGUACCAUAUUCUGCCAUCGGCAGCCUAAACAGCCUGCUCUAAAGGAACCUAAACUCUCUAUUUACGCAAGUCUUCUGAGUAAAAACAAAAUUUAUCAAAACUUUUAGCAACGGAUCUCUUGGCUCUAGCAUCGAUGAAGAACGCAGCAAAAAUGCGAUAAGUAAUGCGAAUUGCAGAUUUUAGUGAGUCAUACGAGCUUUUUGAAGCCAUAUUGGCCCUGCUGGCUAUUCUAGCAGGCAUGCCUGUCCGAACGUCAUUUACAGUACUAGAGGCGCUAAAUGUCUCUCUGUUGGAGGCUGGCCUAGCGGCCACCUCUGAAAUCUAGUGGCGGCGGCGGCUCUUACUCCCCCUGACAAGUAGAUUUUUACUGGCCAUGUGGAAGAUUAGCAGCCCCCCUAAAAACCCAUCUAGUUGACUUCGGAUCAGGUAGGAAUACCCGCUGAACUUAAGCAUAUCAAUAAGCGGAGG